CGCUCCGUGGUCUAAUGGUACGAUACCGUCAUUUUCUAGAGUCAUCUCAAGGAGAUCAGGCGGGGAUUGCGAGUUCGAUUCUCGUCGGAGCCA
Molecule: non-coding RNA, 93 nt
Organism: Mycena maculata
Lineage: Eukaryota; Fungi; Basidiomycota; Agaricomycetes; Agaricales; Mycenaceae
Source: the annotation of a GenBank genome assembly